This is a long non-coding RNA of Triticum aestivum (bread wheat), 2211 nucleotides long. RefSeq lists it as uncharacterized. The record is from RefSeq and is a predicted model, not a curated record. The transcript is spliced from 3 exons. Lineage: Eukaryota; Viridiplantae; Streptophyta; Magnoliopsida; Poales; Poaceae.
UAGGAUGGAAGAGCUAUCAUAAAUAAACGCAGUUCAUUACAUUAGAACCUUUCUCUGGAUGUGUUUUCAUCAUAAAAACAUGUGAAAUAAUAAGAUCUAUGCAUACUGCAUAUAUACUGAAAUUUCAUAGUUAUAUUAUAUAAGUAGAUAUUCUAAAAAUUUAGAGCAUGGUAAUCCUGAGAAGCUUAUGAAGGAGUAAAGGAGGAAUAGAUAUUCUAGCCAAUUUCAUUUGUUUUUAUUUUCUUCCAGACCUUUGCCACUUAGCAGUGGGUCUUCCAGGUUAGGACAAAAUCGCCUUAACACAAUCUCGCAGGGACACGCCACACGCGCCCGUGAACCCAUGCCCCUUCACCUUAUCUCUUACUGCAGCCCACUACCUUCACUUCAUUUCCUCUUCUCCUAGAUCCCCUUUCUCGUCUAGCUCGCUCAGGGCGUCGGUCGCCAUUGCAACACCAGCCGCAGGAAUCGGCGGGAUACGCUAGCCCUCAGUUCGGAUCGACGUCCAUGCCUCCGGCUCUGACAUGCACGCCCGCUGGACGCCGCCGUGAACCACCUUGUUUUCCGCAGCCUCUUGGACCGAGGCCAUCUUCGUCGGUUCCGUCGGCCGCCACUGCGGCGCCGCGGUUAUCCUCCUCACCAAACAACUCCAGGGACCGUGACGGGCUCCGUGUUAUCCGCAUCUCCUCUGGACCAUGGACUCGAAGCCGCGGGUCCCUCCUACUUCUUCCCUGACGUUGACCGUCAUUGUCGCUGUCCGAGCUCGUUGCUCUGCUCCGUCCGACCUUGCCACUAACAACAUGGGUUUCUUGAUCGUUUCAAUAGAGUCCAGUAAUGAGGGGUAUUACGAGUUCGAUCCGUAGCUUCACCAGGACGUUGACCAGGAAGGCAAGCAUCAUGAAUUCCCUAUCUUAUGUUUUACUUAUGUUGAAGGAUUAUACUAUCUUGUUGCCCGUGUUGGUUACCAUGUCGUACCUUUCUUUGUAAUAUCCAUGUUUAGGACAUGGGUAGGAGUUGCUUGAUGUUCAUGAUCAGCGGGUUGUGACAUAUAUUAAUUCCGGCAAUUUGUAGUCAUCUUAAAAUAGUACAAUUAUGAUAGCUUCAGACCCAAAAAUGACAAAUGGAGACCGAGCUCCAUGGACGUCUUUAUUCAAUAACUUCAAAAUUCAAACUUUUCAGUUUCAAAAAAUUCUGAAAAUAAACACACAUAUACCUAGAUACAUAAUGUACAUGUGUGCAAAUUUUCAGGUUGAAACACAUUAAAAUGUGAACUACAAAAAAAGAUAAUUCUGGGGCUUUUUAGUAUAUGUAUUGUUCAUCUUCAAAGUACACAUUAAAAUUUUCACACAUACACUUAACAUCCUUGCAUACAUGUACUCCAUAAAAAAAUCAUGUGCAAGGAUGUUAAGUGUACUAAGCUUGUUAAAAUUUUCACACAUACACUUAACAUCCUUGCAUACAUGUGCAUGUUUUCAGAAUUUUUUGAAACUGAAAUUUAUGAAUUUGAAUUUUUCAAAAUAAAGGGCUCCAUGGAGCUCGGUCUCCAAAAUGCCCUACUCCUUCAGACCUUAUUCAAAAUUCAAACUAAAAGAUAAGCACCUCAACAGCCAUGUUUCAGAAUAGUAGCUCAAGCACAAGCAACAUUGAGAAAGAUCUUGAGGUACUAAACUUGUUAACAACCAUUUUGUUCUUCAGACAAAUGUAAAUAGAUUCAGACCUUCAAGAACAGAAGAUGUCGAUACAUCUCUGGAUCCAAUAAUGCAAAUCAUUGAAGAAGUUAAGACCUUACUGAGUGACUGGUAGUGAAAAUACGAUGCAGCGAAAAAUAGACAUAUAUCAUUCCUAUUCUACAACAGAGAAAAAUAAAACAACCAACUGAAGGGACAUAUAACUCCUUGCGUGUUGGUUGGAGGCUAUACUACUAAUUUCUGAUGAGUGAGAACUCAUGACAAAAUAAAUUUAAUAUUGUUAUUGCUAUAAAUGCAGAUGAAAUGAAGGUCCACAUUCAGUAUGAUUUUCUUAAUUUCUUUUUAGAAAUUUAACAAGGAAAGCCACAGAAAUUGGAAAACACGUCAAACUACUUUUUUUUACCUGUGAGCUUGUCAAUUAAGUUCAUUUGUGGCACCGUCCUUCCAAAUCUCACCUUAGCCACUUGCCUCAUCAGUGACCAAGGAUACCUAUUGAAUGUAAUGAGCAAUCCAUGUUAACAUGUGA